CUCCGUCCCCUUUAGGGGAAGAAGGGUAACACCCCUCCGUCUCCGUCCCCUUUAGGGGGAAGAAGGGUAACACCGUAGGGGAGUUCUUCCCCUAAAGGGGAACCCCUUUAGUUCGUCCCCUUUAGGGGAACCAAAGGGGUUCCCCUUCGGGGAUGAACUAAAGGGGUGUUCCCCUUCUUCCCCUAAAGGGGACGGAGACGAAGGGGAAGAGCACUAAAGUGUUCCCCUUUGGGGAAGACGUAGGGGAAGAACAAGAAGGGGGAAAACAAAGGGACAACCAGAGGGGACAAGGGGACAAGUGAUUCCCCUUCGGUUAUCGUCCCCUAAAGUUCUUCUUCUUCUUCCCCUUUAGGGGAACUAAAGGGGAAGAAGAAGAACUUUAGGGGAUGAACCAAAGGGGAACCCAAAGGGACACCAAACUCUUAGAGCCCAAAGGGGCAAGGAAAGGGGCUUCGCCCUGGUUUACCAACAAACUCGUAGGCUUCCCAAACCAGAGCGCCAGCUAAGACGACGUAAGAGCUACUAGUUUCUAUAUAGUCACGAGAUAAACUACUAACAACUAGAACGUACCUCCGGCAUGCAGGUGCGGUUUACGCGCAUGUCUACAUUGGAGUUCUUGCACUUACAUAACGUAGUUUCUUCGGGAAAUAAACUACAAGUAGAUUCCCGCUGUAAAUCACAUUUUGUGACAGUUGUGUUGUAUCUGUGUUGUAUCGAAAAAAAAAUUUUUUGGGUUUCGCUCGGCGUUGUUAUAAGUCCGUCUACACAAUUAAGCGCUAACGGCUUGGCGUUACACGUACGCUUGAAUAUAAGGAGCUUCCGUUCUUGGUCUUGUGGCUUUUCAUCCCCUUUAGUUCCCCUAAAGGGGAUGAGUUCAUCCCCUAAAGGGGAACUAAAGGGGAUGAAAAGCUAUACACAUACGUUUGGCCAAAAUACUCGUGUCUUUGUUGUGAGGGAGCCGUUCGAUGCUUUCGGCCAACUAACGACCGAAUACUAAACAAGUUUAACAUAACUACGCUUCACGGGGGGAGUCAAAUAAAUAAAUAAAUAAAUAAAUAAAUAAAUAAAUAAAUAAAUAAAUAAAUAAAUAAAUAAAUAAAUAAAUAAAUAAAUAAAUAAAUAAAUAAAUAAAUAAAUAAAUAAAUAAAUAAAUAAAUAAUUGCCCUUCCCCCCCCCCCUAAUAAAAAGUUUUUUUAGAUUAAAUAUUUUUUUUUAAAAAAAUUUUUUUAAAAAAAUUAUUAUUUAACCUAAUGUGUAAAAAAUUAAAUUUUUAAAAAUCUUGUUUUAUUGUUUAUAUAAAUCUUGUUUUAAAAAUUUGACACUAAAAAAGAUAAAUUUCUAAAGAAUGGGGGUUAACAAGUAAUUUAUAUUAGCUAAGUUUGAUGAAACCAAUUUCUAAAAAACUUUCGAGCACGUUAACGCUAGAUGUGGAGCACCGGAGUACGUUUUCAAUUUUUAUUCGUCAAAACUUUAUAGUUGACCAUCCGGUCAUUGAGCACGCCCUUUGGGCUAGCUUUGGUGCUAUGCACGUGUAAUAGAAAGUGCCUACGUACCUGAUAUAUUUGAUAUAUUUGUCACAAUGUAACAAUGUAACAUAUAACUUUACGAAGCUGCUUGUCUUGUGGCCAAGCGUAUGCAUCAUGCCACAAGACACAAAGUCUUGUGUCUUGUGGUUGAGGCUUUGCCUCUAAUAUUGGCUUUGCCAAUCCCGAAGGAAGAGGUAUUUUGCUGGAGCCAACGUUAAGCCUAGUUGUAGCUAAAUCUACCACGUUAGAUUCAGCUACUCAUUAAACUACAUUUCACAAGACCUUGUGGAACAUCGUAACUCACUGCGUAUAACUUAGGCGCAGCCUACAAUGCUUUUAGCUAGUUGUGCAAAUGGCUUCCGUUGACGCAUUCAUCCCCUAAAGGGUAACCGAAGGGGUUCCCCUUUAGGGGACGAAAACGAAGGGGUUCCCCUUCGGGGAAGCGUUUGAGCUAUUUUAUACAGGCUACAGCCGGUUAACAUUUUUCAAUUUUUGUGAUUUUCAAAGUUUUAGACAAGUUAAAAGUAGACGUAAUAUUGAUCUGCAGUUGUCAAAGUUAACAAAAAGAUCAGUAGUAAUUACAUUAAAUUAUAGUAUAAUUAUAAUUCAAAGAAGGCUUAUGACACAAAAUAACAUUUUAAUAAGACGUUAUAUUAUUGUAGGUGAACGAAGACUAAGUAAUUAUUGGUGGGCUAUUGUUAUUUUUUUAGGUUCAUGUGGUUUUUUAGCUACAGGACUUUGCUCUUAUUUAGGAAUUCCUAACUGG
This 2292-nucleotide long non-coding RNA is filed under the name Volvox carteri. RNAcentral's name for it is "long non-coding RNA (VCAR_LNC004097)". Lineage: Eukaryota; Viridiplantae; Chlorophyta; Chlorophyceae; Chlamydomonadales; Volvocaceae. The record is from RNAcentral.